Molecule: ribosomal RNA, 468 nt
Filed under: uncultured bacterium
Lineage: Bacteria
Description: partial 16S ribosomal RNA
Rfam family: Bacterial small subunit ribosomal RNA
Source: RNAcentral
GACGAACGCUGGCGGCGUGCUUAACACAUGCAAGUCGAACGGAAAGGCCCUGCUUUUGUGGGGUGCUCGAGUGGCGAACGGGUGAGUAACACGUGAGUAACCUGCCCUUGACUUUGGGAUAACUUCAGGAAACUGGGGCUCAUACCGGAUAGGAGCUCCUGCUGCAUGGGGGGGGUUGGAAAGUUUCGGCGGUAGGGGAUGGACUCGCGGCUUAUCCGCUUGUUGGUGGGGUAGUGGCUUACCAAGGCUUUGACGGGUAGCCGGCCUGAGAGGGUGGCCGGCCACCUUGGGCCUGCGAUACGGCCCAGACUCCUACGGGAGGCAGCAGUCGGGAAUAUUGCACAAUGGGCGGAAGCCUGAUGCAGCAACGCCGCGUGCGGGAUGACGGCCUUCGGGUUGUAAACCGCUUUCUCCUGUGACGAAGCGUGAGUGACGGUAAUGGGUAAAGAAGCACCGGCUAACUACGUG